AUGAAUCCAGAAGUCGAAAGAAGGAAAGUAGGGGACAAGAGAAAAAUUCAGAUUUUCGCCCAAAUACUUGAUGGAUUCCUCUGGCCUAUCGAGUGCUUUAAACUUUUCAAGGUUUUUGAACUUGCAAUUCGUAGAUUUGUGGCCCAUCUACUUUGGAUCAAAGUAGAAGGAAGGUAUCUUGUGAAGUUGGUAUUGUGCAUGUAA
Molecule: non-coding RNA, 204 nt
Organism: Vicia faba (fava bean)
Lineage: Eukaryota; Viridiplantae; Streptophyta; Magnoliopsida; Fabales; Fabaceae
Source: the annotation of a GenBank genome assembly